RNAcentral lists this ribosomal RNA (426 nucleotides) under uncultured bacterium. Its description in RNAcentral is "bacterial SSU rRNA". It matches the Rfam family "Bacterial small subunit ribosomal RNA", at positions 354 to 796 of the family's 1533-position model. The record is from RNAcentral.
GUGAGGAAUUUUCCGCAAUGGGCGAAAGCCUGACGGAGCAAUGCCGCGUGAAGGAUGAAGGCCUAUGGGUUGUAAACUUCUUUUCUCAGAAAAGUAUUAUGACGGUAUCUGAGGAAUAAGCAUCGGCUAACUCUGUGCCAGCAGCCGCGGUAAGACAGAGGAUGCAAGCGUUAUCCGGAAUGAUUGGGCGUAAAGCGUCUGUAGGUUGUUUAAAAAGUAUUCUGUCAAAGAUUAGGGCUUAACCCUAGAUAGGCAGAAUAAACUUUUAAGCUAGAGUUUGGUAGAGGCAGAGGGAAUUCCCGGUGGAGCGGUGAAAUGCGUAGAUAUCGGGAGGAACACCAAAGGCGAAGGCACUCUGCUGGGCCAAUACUAACACUGAGAGACGAAAGCGAGGGGAGCAAAUGGGAUUAGAAACCCGGGUAGUCC